Molecule: transfer RNA, 71 nt
Filed under: Marmota monax (woodchuck)
Lineage: Eukaryota; Metazoa; Chordata; Mammalia; Rodentia; Sciuridae
Description: tRNA.Ala
Source: RNAcentral
UAAGAUAUAGCUCAGUGGCAAAGUAUUUGCCUUGCAUUUGCAAAGCCUUGGGUUCAAUCCCCAUUUCAAAA